Molecule: ribosomal RNA, 267 nt
Filed under: uncultured archaeon
Lineage: Archaea
Description: partial 16S ribosomal RNA
Rfam family: Archaeal small subunit ribosomal RNA
Source: RNAcentral
AGUCACUGACAUUAGAUACCCGGGUAGUCCAGGGUGUAAACGCUGCAGACUUGGUGUUGGGAACCCUUCGGGGGUGCUCAGUGCCGGAGAGAAGUUGUUAAGUCUGCUACUUGGGGAGUACGUCCGCAAGGAUGAAACUUAAAGGAAUUGGCGGGGGAGCACCGCAACGGGAGGAGCGUGCGGUUUAAUUUGGAUUCAACGACCGAAAAACUCACCAGCAGCGACUGUUACAUGAAAGUCAGGUUGAUGACCUUACUAGAUUUUCAG